GUAAGCAGAACUGGCGCUGUGGGAUGAACCGAACGUUGAGUUACGGCGCCUGAUUAUAGACGCUCAUCAGAUACCACAAAAGGUGUUGGUUGCUAUAGACAGCAGGACGGUGGCCAUGGAAGUCGGAAUCCGCUAAGGAGUGUGUAACAACUCACCUGCCGAAGCAACUAGCCCUGAAAAUGGAUGGCGCUAGAGCGUUUAGCCUAUACUCAACCGUUGUGGCACACGCUGCGGUAAGCAAUUAUCGUAUUUGGCGCUUUUAUGGCACAUGCGUGCUAGUCAUGCCUCAACGAGUAGGAGGGUCGCGGCGGUAUGCUUUGAAGGCUUAGCGGCGUGAGCCGGGCUGGACCUGCCGUCGGUGCACAUCUAGGUGGUAGUAGCAAAUACUCAAGCGAGAACCUUGAGGACUGAAGUGGAGAAGGCUUCCAUGUGAACAGCAGUUGAACAUGGGUCAGUCGAUCUUAAAGCAUCGGCGAGGGCCGUUCAGAAACGGUGUCGGUUAUGUGGCAGUAUGCUGUUUCGGCAGUAUGCUGUCCGGCUAUAGGCGCUUGCUCGUUUAUAGUCGCCGCACCUGCUGAAAGGGAAUUGGAUUAAUAUUUCCAAACCUAACAGCGGAGAUUGGUUGCUCAUUAGGCUGCACGGGCCUUGCGCUCGUGUCAGUCGGGGCAACGCGCUGCGGUAACGCAAACGAACUCGGAUACGCUGACUGGAGUCCCGGGAAGAGUUGUCUUUUCUUCAUAAAGAGUCGACUCCAUGGAAUUGGUUCAGCCAGAGAUAUGGAGAUGGCGUCUGAAAAGCAUCGCGCUUCUUGCGAUGUCCGGUGCGCUCCAAGCGGCCCUUGAAAAUCCGAGGGAGAGAAUGAUUUUCGUGUUAGAUCGUACCCAUAUCCGCAGCAGGUCUCC
RNAcentral lists this ribosomal RNA (902 nucleotides) under Pseudechiniscus suillus. Its description in RNAcentral is "eukaryotic LSU rRNA". It matches the Rfam family "Eukaryotic large subunit ribosomal RNA", at positions 1140 to 1868 of the family's 3401-position model. Lineage: Eukaryota; Metazoa; Tardigrada; Heterotardigrada; Echiniscoidea; Echiniscidae. The record is from RNAcentral.